This 638-nucleotide long non-coding RNA is filed under the name Olea europaea (common olive). RNAcentral's name for it is "long non-coding RNA (OEUR_LNC014675)". The record is from RNAcentral. Lineage: Eukaryota; Viridiplantae; Streptophyta; Magnoliopsida; Lamiales; Oleaceae.
CAUCACCAAGUGCAACAAUGAAACCUGUACACUCCAUCUCUCUUACAUAAAUUAGUUUUCUACCCAUAUAUGGAAUAUACCUAACUUCAUUUAUUGUGUACACAAACUCACUAUCAAAUUUGACAAUCACACUAUCAACGCUAGUGAUCUUAUAUGCAACUUCACCCCAUGCAACUACAUAUCCACGAUCAGACUCAUACAAAUGAUCAAACCAUAGUUUAUUUGAUUUUACUAUAAAAAGAAGCACCGAACUGAAGAAUCACUCAUGCAUAUGAAAGUUCAUAGACUGGUUAAAUUCAGUUAGUUCAGUAUCUAAAUGUAUAUAAAUCUCACCAGUUUUAUCUCUUUAGAAAACAAGGUUUGACCUACUAGGUUCACCACCCUUCUGAUCUCUUCAUUUAUACAAUGUCCUAAUUUCUCAUAAUCAUAACAUUUCCUCCCUAUGACUUAGAUCUACAUCUCCAUUUUUCUUGUCAAAAUUGUUUUGCCUCUCAUCAUCCCUGAACUAGAUCGUCGGUGAAUCUCUCCUGCUUUUCUCUCAUUUCUUUCAACUUUCAUUUUCCUCUCUUAGCCUUUAAGGAAUUGAUGACUAAUUUGCAUGUAAAGGUCUCCUGUCGAUAUUUGAUUGCAUUCUUAAC